UGAGUAACCUGCCCUUAACUCUGGGAUAAGCCUGGGAAACUGGGUCUAAUACCGGAUAUGACUCCUCAUCGCAUGGUGGGGGGUGGAAAGCUCUAUUGUGGUUUUGGAUGGACUCGCGGCCUAUCAGCUUGUUGGUGAGGUAAUGGCUCACCAAGGCGACGACGGGUAGCCGGCCUGAGAGGGUGACCGGCCACACUGGGACUGAGACNGUACCGGCCCGACGACCGUACCGUACGGGA
Molecule: ribosomal RNA, 239 nt
Filed under: uncultured bacterium
Lineage: Bacteria
Description: partial 16S ribosomal RNA
Rfam family: Bacterial small subunit ribosomal RNA
Source: RNAcentral